Puma concolor (puma) is the source of this 104-nucleotide small nuclear RNA. Lineage: Eukaryota; Metazoa; Chordata; Mammalia; Carnivora; Felidae. The record is from RefSeq and is a predicted model, not a curated record.
UUGCUUUGGUACCACAUAUACUAAGACUGGACCGAUACAGAGAAGAUUAGCAUGGCCUCCGCACAAGAAGUUCAUCCCUAGCUUUUUUUUGUUUGUUUGUUUUU